This 406-nucleotide ribosomal RNA is filed under the name uncultured bacterium. RNAcentral describes it as "partial 16S ribosomal RNA". It matches the Rfam family "Bacterial small subunit ribosomal RNA", at positions 30 to 526 of the family's 1533-position model. The record is from RNAcentral.
AUUGAACGCUGGCGGCAGGCCUAACACAUGCAAGUCGAACGAGUGGCGGACGGGUGAGUAAUGUCUGGGAAACUGCCUGAUGGAGGGGGAUAAAUACUGGCAAAGGUAGCUAAUACCGCAUACCAUCAGAUGUGCCCAGAUGGGAUUAGAGAGUUGGUGGGGUAACGGCUUACCAAGGCGACGAUCCCUAGCUGGUCUGAGAGGAUGACCGGCACCGUUGGAACGUAGACACGGUCCAGACUCCUACGGGAGGCAGCAUGUGGGAAUAUUGCACAAUGGGCGCAAGUCGGAUGCAGCCAUGCCGCGUGUAUGAAGAAGGCCUUCGGGUUGUAAAGUACUUUCAGCGGGGAGGCGUUACCCGCAGAAGAAGCACCGGCUAACUCCGUGCCAGCAGCCGCGGUAAUUC